Lathyrus oleraceus (garden pea) is the source of this 1384-nucleotide long non-coding RNA. RefSeq lists it as uncharacterized. The record is from RefSeq and is a predicted model, not a curated record. The transcript has 2 exons. NCBI's taxonomy places the organism in Eukaryota, Viridiplantae, Streptophyta, Magnoliopsida, Fabales, Fabaceae.
GAUGAGGGCCCAACAAAAUCAACCCACAAGCCAAGGAAACAGCCACAUGGAAUGGUAAAUGAAUAUUCCCCUAGGUACUAGUGGUCACGCGUCUGUUCCCAAGACCAAAUUCACGUGGCUCAAAAAGACGUAUUCAGCAUAACAAGAUGCGCAGGCAGAAACAAACGCCAAUAAACUUCCAAUCUUAUGACCAUUCGCCUCCCUCCACUCAUUUUUCUCUCUCUCGUUACCGUCUCCGCCGCGUCGGAGGCUUCCUCGGCGGCAGAGCCACCACGAAAUUACAAAUUGAAACCAGAUUCCUAAUUUAUUCCACAUCUUGAACUCAAAUAUACCCAUGAAAAGCUCUAACCCUAACUCUAAACGGUUCAAUCGGAGAUUUUAAGUCAAGAACCCUAAAUUCUCUAAGUUCAAUUAAAUGGGGUCGAAGUGAGGAUCCUCACGUAGGCCAUGGGGUUAUCAAUGAUAAAGAUUUGUAUUAUGCAAUGGUGAUUGACUCGUGGCAAACAGAGGAGGAAUUUUACCUGGUAAUCACUCCGGUGAACUUUGAUCGGAGAAGACGACGUGCAAGAAGAUUCUUGAGCCACCAGGUCAUGUGUUGAUAUUCUAACCUUUGGAAGAUGGUGCAGGUUUGCCAAUUGGCUUUGAGGUAUGCACAUUGCUUUGUUAACUUGAAAAUAAAAAUGGAUUUAUGCACGACCAUUUAUCCUAUUGCAAAUGCCAGGUUUGAUAUGAAUGAUGAUUUGAUGUGGUUGCAGUUGGAUAUGAUUGCUUGAUUGUCAUGGUCGUAUUGCUGGCUAGUGUGCUUUACUGAAUUGCCUUUAGUGCAGGUUCUCAAAAUAGGAAAUGCCCUGUUUUUUUGUUGCAAUCUGGUUCGGUCUGCAUUGGUCCUGGAAAGGUUUCUGGUCUGCAUUGGUCUUGGAAAGGUUUAUAACUUUGCAUUCACAUCAUUCUGAAGGGUUUUGUGAUUCUUGUUAAUGUAGAUCAAAUUGGAUUCUUCCAUUUCCUUGCAGACCUUUGGCUAGUGUUUUAUGUGUUCCAUUAUGCAUUGCCUUGAGUCCCUUUUGCAGGUUACAUGUACACGAAACAUGAUGGUUGCACAAGGGUUUGCAACAUGAUGAUCAAGGUUGAAAUUUGGAGUAUUAAGCACCCAUGGCAAGGAUUCAAGGAUCAAGGAUUAACACUCGACCUUAGCAUUAGAAAUAGAAAUAGGACUUAGGGUUUUUAGGAUGAAAAGGGUUUGAGUUGACUUUGGUCAAAAUUGACCAAAAAGUUAACUAUUGACCAAAAUCAACAUUUGGUCAACAUGUAAUUUUUGCAUUUUUGUAUGUAGUGAAACAUUUUAUUAUGGAACUUGAUGUAUAUGAAUGCGAUUGACACUUUUUUU